RNAcentral lists this ribosomal RNA (390 nucleotides) under uncultured bacterium. RNAcentral describes it as "bacterial SSU rRNA". It matches the Rfam family "Bacterial small subunit ribosomal RNA", at positions 28 to 420 of the family's 1533-position model. The record is from RNAcentral.
GACGAACGCUGGCGGCGUGCUUAACACAUGCAAGUCGAGCGGUAAGGCCCUUCGGGGGUACACGAGCGGCGAACGGGUGAGUAACACGUGGGUGACCUGCCCUCAGCUCUGGGAUAAGCCUGGGAAACCGGGUCUAAUACCGGAUAUGACUCCAUGACGCAUGUUGUGGGGUGGAAAGCCUUGUGCGGCUGAGGAUGGGCCCGCGGCCUAUCAGCUUGUUGGUGGGGNGAUGGCCUACCAAGGCGACGACGGGUAGCCGGCCUGAGAGGGCGACCGGCCACACUGGGACUGAGACACGGCCCAGACUCCUACGGGAGGCAGCAGUGGGAAAUCUUGCGCAAUGGGCGAAAGCCUGACGCAGCGACGCCGCGUGAGGGAUGACGGCCUGGU